AUGUGCCUGCAUCGCCUGUCAUUGGAUGCCACUGGUCAUGUGUGAGAGGCAAACGUCUUCAUGGCCCUUUUCCUGAUUUCCCAGGCGAGCGUUUUUUUUCCCCACCGCAUUCUGCGUCUAUGGCGCUCAAACCGAUACGCCACGGUCUGCUUUCUCAAAUAUUAUUCCAGCUAUUGGUUUCAUAAAAACGUCUGAUCAGCACAUAUUUGCAGCACUGCGCUGCUCGCUCCCCUGGACGACGAGGAAGGGAGCGUUGCAACUUUCUCCAUGCCUGACCUCUACACACACACAGCUGCACCGGCUCUGCAUACCUUAUCAAAGUGCACCGCAGACGCGCCAAAGCUCAAAGAAUAAACAUGGAUUACCUCCCCGCUACAGUUUCCGUCGCGGCACCUUCUUCUGUGACCGAACGAACUUGUUGUGGAUUAUUACCGGAUUUCCCUCCACCAAACUACAAGGUCUGUAGUCGGAACAACCCGAAGGUCUGCGUUUAUUCUGCUCACAACGUCCCUCUAUUAAUCUGUUGGGCUCUGAUCUGUGUUGUCCAGUGACUCUUACUGUUUUACUUUUACAUAACGAAAAUGCUUAAAACGAUAUUCCUAAAACCUCUGUAAAUUGCAUGAUUUAUUACGAUGUUGACUUGUGAUGUGAGAAGAUAAUACGCCAAGUUACUUACUCAUUUAAAUUACUGUUCACAUGAUGAUGAUGAAACUGAGGUGCAGUUUGAUUUCAUUUCAAACUUUAGGUCUCUCCACCUGAACAAAAACAUCUUUAACAAAAAGUUGCAUAUAAUUUUUGAUGAUAGAUUGUGCAGCCUUUGUUUUUAAAUGACGAAUCAUAAUCUAAUAAUGUGAUGAUCUGUCAUUUAACCUAGUGCUCACUGAUGCUAUGCCAGGAUGGUGUGAAGUUGCUAGAGGAAAGUCUAUGAAUGUUAUUCAUACCUGACAGAUGCAAAACUGAUUUUUAUCUUUCUUUAUUUUCUGAAAAAUAAAAUUGAUUUAAUCUUUUUUGAA
This is a long non-coding RNA of Betta splendens (Siamese fighting fish), 1013 nucleotides long. RefSeq lists it as uncharacterized. The transcript is spliced from 2 exons. The record is from RefSeq and is a predicted model, not a curated record. Lineage: Eukaryota; Metazoa; Chordata; Actinopteri; Anabantiformes; Osphronemidae.